Equus caballus (horse) is the source of this 901-nucleotide non-coding RNA. The record is from RefSeq and is a predicted model, not a curated record. Lineage: Eukaryota; Metazoa; Chordata; Mammalia; Perissodactyla; Equidae.
CAGGAACAAGGCAAGUGCUAGGUGCCCUCAUCCCAGGCCUGCUCCUUUUCUAAUAGGAUUCACCAUUGAUUAGGCUCCAGCCUGGAACACCUCGCAGAAAGAGAAAGGAAAAAGAGUCAUCGACCAUCUACAGUGAUACAAGGAAACGGUGUCGACUACCCCCUCAGACUGCAAAGCACUGUCCAAAUGUGAUAUGUCUACUGAGAAGAGAGCUUGCUGAGAGGUGUUCUCAACCUUCUGCAGGAUACAGAUUUCUCCUAAACCCUACUGUUUUUCCCUAGGACACUACAGAUUUAGUGAGAAUGUAAAGGAGAUAACAAAGGAGAAGCUAAAGAUUGUCAGCUCACACCUCCUUCCUGUAUAGAAUGUCCUUCGUCUGGAAUCUGGCAGAAGAAUCAUUCAAAGAAGGGAGGCUUAUUCUGAGGAAAUGCACCAAUUAAGACUAUAAAUUCAGAAAUGGAAGUAUAAAAAGAGCCCUACCUCGUGGUAUCACGCUUCUGACCACUGCAAUUUUCAGAUGUUCUCGAGGAUCAAAGACAGGACUACAUCUGUCCAUGGUUUUCACUUCAUCACCUUGAGCUUGAAGUAAUUAAAUAGGAAUAAAGAGAUAAUCUGCUUGUGUUGAAAUAAGGUUUGAAGGAACUUCAGAUUCCUCCUCCAUUAUUUUCUUCUUUACUUGUAAUGCUAUCUAUUUAGCUUACUGUUUUUAAAAAAUGCUAGGUGUUUAUUUUAAAAAUGCAAACAAUAGAAAAAAACAUGAUACAGGUAAAAAAUCACAUUAAAUUCCAACAUAGAAGUAUUUGUCAUUAACAAUUGGUGAACCUCACUCAAGGUAUCUCUUUGUGGAUGUGUUCAGAAAGAGAAAGAGACUGGAUCAAUAGCAAGAAGUAAUUUAAGGAAA